GAUUAAGUUAUUAAGGGCGCACGGUGGAUGCCUUGGCACUAGAAGCCGAUGAAGGACGUUACUAACGACGAUAUGCUUUGGGGAGCUGUAAGUAAGCUUUGAUCCAGAGAUUUCCGAAUGGGGAAACCCAGCAUGAGUUAUGUCAUGUUAUCGAUAUGUGAAUACAUAGCAUAUCAGAAGGCACACCCGGAGAACUGAAACAUCUUAGUACCCGGA
RNAcentral lists this ribosomal RNA (216 nucleotides) under Staphylococcus aureus. Its description in RNAcentral is "partial 23S ribosomal RNA". It matches the Rfam family "Bacterial large subunit ribosomal RNA", at positions 1 to 214 of the family's 2925-position model. The record is from RNAcentral. Lineage: Bacteria; Bacillati; Bacillota; Bacilli; Caryophanales; Staphylococcaceae.